UUUAAAUGAUGAAAUGAUAAUGCAACGAUGAAUCACUAUGAUUAUCAACAAAAUAUCGAGCUUUUUAACUCUGAUGAUA
Molecule: small nucleolar RNA, 79 nt
Organism: Pieris rapae (cabbage white)
Lineage: Eukaryota; Metazoa; Arthropoda; Insecta; Lepidoptera; Pieridae
Source: RefSeq, a predicted model, not a curated record